CCUACGGGUGGCUGCAGUAACGAAUAUUGGGCAAUGGGCGCAAGCCUGACCCAGCAAUGCCGCGUGCAGGAGGAAGCCCCUCGGGGUGUAAACUGCUGUCAGGACCCAGCAAGCAACGGAGGUUAACAGCCUUCGAAGUUGAGCCGGUCCAAAGGAAGCCUCGGCUAACUCUGUGCCAGCAGCCGCGGUAAGACAGAGGAGGCAAGCGUUGUUCGGAAUCACUGGGCUUAAAGCGGGUGUAGGCGGCCGCGCAAGUGUCUUGUGAAAUCCCCCGGCUCAACCGGGGAAUGGCUGGGCAAACUGCGUGGCUUGAGGUCGGUAGAGGCGCCUGGAACUCUAGGUGGAGCGGUGAAAUGCGUAGAUAUCUAGAGGAACGCCGGAGGCGAAAGCGGGGCGCUGGGCCGAUUCUGACGCUGAGACCCGAAAGCGUGGGGAGCAAA
RNAcentral lists this ribosomal RNA (440 nucleotides) under uncultured bacterium. RNAcentral's name for it is "bacterial SSU rRNA". It matches the Rfam family "Bacterial small subunit ribosomal RNA", at positions 338 to 772 of the family's 1533-position model. The record is from RNAcentral.